UCUAGAGUGCUCCUGUGUGAUUCCGGAAAACAAAACCCUCACUACUGCAGCAAAGUUCGACAGCUACACCCUAUCAUCCCAGCAUGGUGUGUCCUGGUGCGCUGAGGAAACAUCUCCUUCUCUUCCUGCUCUUUCCUGCAGUGUGUGCUAACAUUGCAAAUCUUCAUAAGAUCAUCAAAUUCUUCAAUGAAAAAUAUGGAUCUGAAGGUCAACAAUUUGCUGUGGCCAUCAAUGUCAAAGCUGAACAGUGUUCUACAAAUGACCUUGAUCAGAACUUCCUUGAUCAAUAUCCUUCAGAUGUAGUGAAAAACAACUUGGCUGGUGUGAAUAAAGUUUUUAUAGGUGAUCGUCUGAUUGCUGCCAGACCAAAACCAAUCCCUGGAUCUAACAACAACUACCACUCUGAAUAUCUCCUGCUCAUUAAUUCAACGUUACCCAAUCAAGAGGUACCACCCAUAUGGCAUCUCCUGAAUACAGACAAUAAUGGCUGUGUAGUUUUCUACACCUACAACUCCCCCUGCGUUAAGACCUGCUCAACACCUAAUAACUGUUACAGCAUUAUCCCUGCCCUUGACAUGAUUAAAGUUCACAGUGGUCCAAAAGCGUUUGUUUUCUGGCAGGUUUGGCAACAUGAUAAUAACUCUAUUAAAUGGAAAGAAAAUAUAAAAUCUAUAAAUGAUAAAGUGCCUCUCUACCAUUGUGAUGCAACUCAGUGUACCCUUUGUGUAAACAAAAAUAAUAGAAUUGAGAAAAAAUGUGUGGCCCAAAAAAAUCAGAAUUAGUUUUACCAGCCAGAAAGAUAUAAAGGGCACUGGAUUUGCCAGUUGCUGUCAUUAAAAGUGCAUUAAAUAAGAAAUCACAAUAAAAUAAUAAAAAGAGCAUGAAUGUUUUUGUGGUUUAAAGCCAAAAUGUUCAACCAUAUUAAGUGUGUUUCUCAAAGCAUAGAUAAAUCUUUGUGCAUUUUAACAUCCUCUUUUCUUGGAAAGGUCUUCUCUGCUGAAAUAUGUAUAAAAAUGUGGAUUCUUUGAAUGACUGUUAGACAUUCCCUGGACAAUGCCUCAUUUGUACAUUAUAUUGAACUGCAAAUAAAUACAUAGCCUGCUAUUCUCUUCAA
Non-coding RNA from Electrophorus electricus (electric eel), 1114 nucleotides. Lineage: Eukaryota; Metazoa; Chordata; Actinopteri; Gymnotiformes; Gymnotidae. The record is from RefSeq and is a predicted model, not a curated record.